UGGGGAAUAUUGGACAAUGGGGGAAACCCUGAUCCAGCGAUGCCGCGUGAGUGAUGAAGGCCUUCGGGUUGUAAAGCUCUUUUGCACGCGACGAUGAUGACGGUAGCGUGAGAAUAAGCCCCGGCUAACUCUGUGCCAGCAGCCGCGGUAAUACAGAGGGGGCUAGCGUUGUUCGGAAUGACUGGGCGUAAAGGGCGCGUAGGUGGCUCUACAAGUCAGAUGUGAAAGGCCUAGGCUUAACCUGGGGAUGGCAUUUGAGACUGUAAAGCUUGAGUCCGGGAGAGGAUAGCGGAAUUCCUAGUGUAGAGGUGAAAUUCGUAGAUAUUAGGAAGAACACCGGUGGCGAAGGCGGCUAUCUGGAACGGAACUGACACUGAGGCGCGAAAGCGUGGGGAGCAAACAG
RNAcentral lists this ribosomal RNA (403 nucleotides) under uncultured bacterium. Its description in RNAcentral is "bacterial SSU rRNA". It matches the Rfam family "Bacterial small subunit ribosomal RNA", at positions 355 to 775 of the family's 1533-position model. The record is from RNAcentral.